Long non-coding RNA from Gasterosteus aculeatus aculeatus (three-spined stickleback), 942 nucleotides. The record is from Ensembl. Lineage: Eukaryota; Metazoa; Chordata; Actinopteri; Perciformes; Gasterosteidae.
GACAAACAUUGAGCUCUCAAGCAGAGGAGAUGGGAAGACCUCCAGGUUUGUUUGGAAGCAGCUGGAAGAAAUAGGUCCACCUGGAGAAUCGAUUUCAAACAUCGAGUCUUUCUGUAAUGGAACGUUUUUAAUGGGGAAGGCCGGAAUGCGAAGAGAAUCCAGCACUCUGUGGGAAAAGUCAAUAAGACCAGCAGACCUACAAAGACAGAAGACACUAAAAAAGGUGGGAUUAGUAAAUGUAAAUUAACAGUAAACUUGAAGAAAGAUGAACUAACUUGAAUCUAGUGUUGGACAGCAUUGGGGGACGGCGUGAGACAAUGGGCUCGACGUCCUCCAGGCCGAGGCUGCGUAGAGUAGCUCCAAGCAACAGCCGGCAAGACGACGAGCCCCAAGCCGAACCGCGAUGGACGCUCCCCGCUCUGCCCGUCACGCCGGAGCAGCCAGCAGGACUUUUGGGACAGAGGAAGACGACGUUACCGCCACAGAGACAAGACAUGACCAUUUCCACCCCCUCCGGGAGGACUCCUGGAGGCCCUGAAUCAACCGACGUGCCAUAGAGCAAAGACAUAAAGUGAUCUUCUCAGUUGGUGGUUUACCCUGUCGCGCACAAAUACUGAAGACCACCAGAGGCGGAGACCCACACGAGGGACAUCUUCUGGGACAACACCAAGGGAGAAAGUUUGGACCCCAAAAGUUCUGCCUCAACCCUUUGAACAGAGACGGUCCAACCAGCCGAGCAAACAGCACGAGUGUUGUGGGGAUCAGAUCAAGGUCUUCAAGAAACAAGAGAGGAAAGACGGUCUUCAGACAAAACACUUGACAGGGACAACUGAAAGGGAAGUAGUGAGAAAAGAAGACCGGGGUACACUUGGUUUUGGUGCCGGUCUGAGCGGCUGUCAGACAGCGUUAUUAAAAUAUUAAAAUGUGUUAAAGGGAUCAGGG